RNAcentral lists this ribosomal RNA (279 nucleotides) under uncultured bacterium. RNAcentral describes it as "partial 16S ribosomal RNA". It matches the Rfam family "Bacterial small subunit ribosomal RNA", at positions 506 to 784 of the family's 1533-position model. The record is from RNAcentral.
UGCCAGCCGCCGCGGUAAGACAGAGGAUGCAAGCGUUGUUCGGAAUCAUUGGGCUUAAAGAGGGUGUAGGCGGCUGUACAAGCGUUGUGUGAAAUCCCACGGCUCAACCGUGGAAUUGCACGGCGAACUGUACAGCUUGAGGUCGGUAGAGGUGCCUGGAACUCUAGGUGGAGCGGUGAAAUGCGUAGAUAUCUAGAGGAACGCCAGAGGCGAAAGCGGGGCACUGGGCCGAUUCUGACGCUGAGACCCGAAAGCGUGGGGAGCAAACAGGAUUAGAUA